Small nucleolar RNA from Phragmites australis (common reed), 138 nucleotides. RefSeq annotates it as small nucleolar RNA snoR134. The record is from RefSeq and is a predicted model, not a curated record. The transcript has a single exon. Lineage: Eukaryota; Viridiplantae; Streptophyta; Magnoliopsida; Poales; Poaceae.
UAGCAUAGAAAGGCGCUUGACUACUUCCUGAAGGAAGCACCAAUGUCUCUGCUAGAUGCACCAUGCCAUUGAGUGUUUCAGGUCAUGAUGUAUCUUGUGAUUGGUCUGUGUCAAUGGCUCAAAGCAAUGCAUACAUGU